This 253-nucleotide ribosomal RNA is filed under the name uncultured bacterium. RNAcentral describes it as "partial 16S ribosomal RNA". It matches the Rfam family "Bacterial small subunit ribosomal RNA", at positions 524 to 776 of the family's 1533-position model. The record is from RNAcentral.
UACAGAGGUCCCAAGCGUUGUUCGGAUUCACUGGGCGUAAAGGGUGCGUAGGCGGUCGGGUAAGUCUGAUGUGAAAUCUCACAGCUUAACUGUGAAACUGCAUUGGAUACUAUCCGGCUCGAGGAAUGGAGGGGAGACUGGAAUACUUGGUGUAGCAGUGAAAUGCGUAGAUAUCAAGUGGAACACCAGGGGCGAAGGCGAGUCUCUGGACAUUUCCUGACGCUGAGGCACGAAAGCCAGGGGAGCAAACGGG